CUAAUACUUUCUCUCACUAGUUGGACAUUCUAGAGAGAGAGAGAGGGAGAUUUUUCACAAGAAAUUGAAAGCUUUUGAAAGGGAAUUCAAUUACCAAGCUAGCAAGGUUCCAACGAAGCUCCACCACCCUAUUUGGACCAUUAGAGGAAGUGGAAUUGAGUAAGAAUUUAACAAAUACUGAUUAGGAGGCAGUUGGAACCUAGGUCGAGGUGUCCACAUAGUUUCGUCUUUGUUGGUGGGUAUGUUGGCAUUCAGUAGCCGUCCCUUCACCUUGGUCAUUCCGCUGGAAGUCAAUAAUCAUUUUGUUUGUGAAUACGUUCAUGUGAUGUAAAGUAUUAAGAUAUGUGUCUUAGACAAUGUACGUAUACUGUGACGGGUAAUGCCACCACUAGUUGGCAAUGGUUAACAAUA
This is a non-coding RNA of Theobroma cacao (cacao), 411 nucleotides long. The record is from RefSeq and is a predicted model, not a curated record. NCBI's taxonomy places the organism in Eukaryota, Viridiplantae, Streptophyta, Magnoliopsida, Malvales, Malvaceae.